GACGAACGCUGGCGGCGUGCUUAACACAUGCAAGUCGAACGGAAAGGCCCUGCUUUUGUGGGGUGCUCGAGUGGCGAACGGGUGAGUAACACGUGAGUAACCUGCCCUUGACUUUGGGAUAACUUCAGGAAACUGGGGCUAAUACCGGAUAGGAGCUCCUGCUGCAUGGUGGGGGUUGGAAAGUUUCGGCGGUCGGGGAUGGACUCGCGGCUUAUCAGCUUGUUGGUGGGGUAGUGGCUUACCAAGGCUUUGACGGGUAGCCGGCCUGAGAGGGUGACCGGCCACAUUGGGACUGAGAUACGGCCCAGACUCCUACGGGAGGCAGCAGUGGGGAAUAUUGCACAAUGGGCGGAAGCCUGAUGCAGCAACGCCGCGUGCGGGAUGACGGUCUUCGGGUUGUAAACCGCUUUCGCCUGUGACGAAGCGUGAGUGACGGUAAUGGGUAAAGAAGCACCGGCUAACUACGUG
Molecule: ribosomal RNA, 468 nt
Filed under: uncultured bacterium
Lineage: Bacteria
Description: partial 16S ribosomal RNA
Rfam family: Bacterial small subunit ribosomal RNA
Source: RNAcentral